Molecule: ribosomal RNA, 270 nt
Filed under: Escherichia coli
Lineage: Bacteria; Pseudomonadati; Pseudomonadota; Gammaproteobacteria; Enterobacterales; Enterobacteriaceae
Description: partial 16S ribosomal RNA
Rfam family: Bacterial small subunit ribosomal RNA
Source: RNAcentral
AAAUUGAAGAGUUUGAUCAUGGCUCAGAUUGAACGCUGGCGGCAGGCCUAACACAUGCAAGUCGAACGGUAACAGGAAGCAGCUUGCUGCUUUGCUGACGAGUGGCGGACGGGUGAGUAAUGUCUGGGAAACUGCCCGAUGGAGGGGGAUAACUACUGGAAACGGUAGCUAAUACCGCAUAACGUCGCAAGACCAAAGAGGGGGACCUUCGGGCCUCUUGCCAUCGGAUGUGCCCAGAUGGGAUUAGCUAGUAGGUGGGGUAAAGGCUCA